AUUCACCAAGGUGGAGGAAGGACAGACAUCACACCAAUGUCUAUGAAGUGCCAGUUGCUCUGCAGGUGGGCAUCAUUACUGCAUCCCCAGCAAAGAAGGAGGUUGCAUCUUCGUGGACAGGGAUUGUUCCUUCUGAAGUCUCCUCCAGAACCAGAGGAGGAGCUGACUUUCCACCUUCACAGAGAACCUUGGCUCAACAGAGCUAAGAUGAAGCCAAAGGAAUGCGAUUCUAUCAAAAUCUGUCACUGAACAAGCAACUCCUCAGCUUAGAAGACUCUGAGUCGCGGGAUUUGGCUCUACCUGUGCUCCUCUGAGAUCAGCUGCGAACCAAGAUACUUACUUUCCCUUGAAAGAAGCUUCAAGACACACACACAGGAGGAAACCAUGCUGGGUACUAGAAACCUAGUCAGUUACCUGCGGUUAGGGACAUCAUAAGUCUUAGAAGAGAAUCUACUUACCACCACAUUGCCAGACCAGCGUAAUUCUUUACUACAUCCUAAGCCUUCUUCUUGUAAGCACAGGCCAGUGUAGCUCCCACCCCUGAUCAAAGAAGCUCUCUGUACAGCAAAUGGGAGCAACACACUCAUUUCACUCCCGUAGGGUAUUAGCUGCUCUUCUGUUGCUGUCAUAGGAGGCCUCAACAAGAAGAAACUUAGAUGAGAAAGGGGUUUCUUUUAGCUAACAAGUCCAAAGGGAGCCAUCAUAUUGGGGAAGCCAUGGCAGGAGGAACAUGAGACCAUCUUGGUCAUCAGAAUGAGCACUUUUCCACCAUACAUAGGGCGCAAAGAGAGAGCGGAAAAAUGGGGCCAGACUGUAUGCCUUCAAGGUUCACUCCCAGCGAUGUACUUCACCUCCUAAAGGUCCCAAACCUUCCGAAAAGUACCACCAACUGGGGACCAACUAUGAGCCUUUGUGAGGUGGAUUUCAUGUUGAAAUCAUAACAGCCAACAACUCAGACAGAUGAGAGUCAAGUCAUUUUCUAGACGUUAGAGAAACCAUACUUAGGACCCUUUAUGCAACCAAAGGCUACGAAUAAGAGGAUCGUGGGCUCUUGCUGCCUCAGUCCUGCAAAUCUUCUGAGUCUGCUAUGGGUUUCGGACAGGGCAACCAUCAUUAUAACUUUCAAGGGGAGCUCCUGAAUGCCUAACACCAAAUGGGUUGUUUCUUUUCAUCCAAAAAAGUGUCAAGCAGACUGAUAUUGUUCCCAUGUGGAUGAAAUGUCUGACUACAAAAGCAGCCA
Long non-coding RNA from Alexandromys fortis (reed vole), 1240 nucleotides. RefSeq lists it as uncharacterized. The record is from RefSeq and is a predicted model, not a curated record. NCBI's taxonomy places the organism in Eukaryota, Metazoa, Chordata, Mammalia, Rodentia, Cricetidae. The transcript is spliced from 3 exons.